AUGAACGCUGGCGGCGUGCCUCAUACAUGCAAGUCGCGCGAACGGACGAGAAGCUUGCUUCUCUGAUGUUAGCGGCGGACGGGUGAGUAACACGUGGAUAACCUACCUAUAAGACUGGGAUAACUUCGGGAAACCGGAACUAAUACCGGAUGAUAUUUUGAACCGCAUGGUUCAAAAGUGAAAGACGGUCUUGCUGUCACUUAUAGAUGGAUCCGCGCUGCAUUAGCUAGUUGGUAAGGUAACGGCUUACCAAGGCAACGAUGCAUAGCCGACCUGAGAGGGUGAUCGGCCACACUGGAACUGAGACACGGUCCAGACUCCUACGGGAGGCAGCAGUAGGGAAUCUUCCGCAAUGGGCGAAAGCCUGACGGAGCAACGCCGCGUGAGUGAUGAAGGUCUUCGGAUCGUAAAACUCUGUUAUUAGGGAAGAACAUAUGUGUAAGUAACUGUGCACAUCUUGACGGUACCUAAUCAGAAAGCCACGGCUAACUACGUG
Molecule: ribosomal RNA, 496 nt
Filed under: uncultured bacterium
Lineage: Bacteria
Description: partial 16S ribosomal RNA
Rfam family: Bacterial small subunit ribosomal RNA
Source: RNAcentral